UACAGAGACUGCAAGCGUUAUUCGGAUUCACUGGGCGUAAAGGGUGCGCAGGCGGUUGGGUGUGUCAGAUGUGAAAUCCCGAGGCUCAACCUCGGAACUGCGUCUGAAACUACUCGACUAGAGUACUGGAGAGGGUAACGGAAUUCACGGUGUAGCAGUGAAAUGCGUAGAUAUCGUGAGGAACACCAGAGGCGAAGGCGGCUACCUGGACAGUUACUGACGCUCAGGCACGAAAGCAUGGGGAGCAAAAGGG
This 253-nucleotide ribosomal RNA is filed under the name uncultured bacterium. RNAcentral's name for it is "partial 16S ribosomal RNA". It matches the Rfam family "Bacterial small subunit ribosomal RNA", at positions 524 to 776 of the family's 1533-position model. The record is from RNAcentral.